GCCUGGGUGGCUCAGUCAGUUAAGCAUCUGACUUCGGUUCAGGUCAUAAUCUUGUGGUUUGUGGGUUCGAGCUCCACAUCAGGCU
Molecule: non-coding RNA, 85 nt
Organism: Felis catus (domestic cat)
Lineage: Eukaryota; Metazoa; Chordata; Mammalia; Carnivora; Felidae
Source: Rfam